UACGUAGGGUGCAAGCGUUAAUCGGAAUUACUGGGCGUAAAGCGCACGUAGGCGGCUUUGUAAGUUAGAGGUGAAAGCCCGGGGCUCAACUCCGGAAUUGCCUUUAAGACUGCAUCGCUAGAAUUGUGGAGAGGUAAGUGGAAUUCCGAGUGUAGAGGUGAAAUUCGUAGAUAUUCGGAAGAACACCAGUGGCGAAGGCGACUUACUGGACACAUAUUGACGCUGAGGUGCGAAAGCGUGGGGAGCAAACAGG
RNAcentral lists this ribosomal RNA (253 nucleotides) under uncultured bacterium. RNAcentral's name for it is "partial 16S ribosomal RNA". It matches the Rfam family "Bacterial small subunit ribosomal RNA", at positions 524 to 776 of the family's 1533-position model. The record is from RNAcentral.